RNAcentral lists this ribosomal RNA (409 nucleotides) under uncultured bacterium. RNAcentral describes it as "bacterial SSU rRNA". It matches the Rfam family "Bacterial small subunit ribosomal RNA", at positions 509 to 916 of the family's 1533-position model. The record is from RNAcentral.
CAGCAGCCGCGGUAAUACGGGGGGUGCAAGCGUUAUUCGGAAUUAUUGGGCGUAAAGGGUGCGUAGGCGGUUUUGUAAGUCAGCUGUGAAAUCCCGGGGCUUAACCCCGGAACUGCAUUUGAUACUGCAAGACUUGAGUAUGGGAGAGGAGAGCGGAAUUCCUGGUGUAGAGGUGAAAUUCGUAGAUAUCAGGAGGAACACCGGUGGCGAAGGCGGCUCUCUGGACCAAUACUGACGCUGAGGCACGAAGGCGUGGGGAGCAAACAGGAUUAGAUACCCUGGUAGUCCACGCAGUAAACGUUGAUCACUUGGUGUUGCGGGUAUUGACCCCUGCGGCGCCGUAGCUUACGCGUUAAGUGAUCCGCCUGGGGAGUACGGUCGCAAGAUUAAAACUCAAAGGAAUUGACGG